Molecule: long non-coding RNA, 1170 nt
Organism: Pseudopipra pipra
Lineage: Eukaryota; Metazoa; Chordata; Aves; Passeriformes; Pipridae
Exons: 5
Source: RefSeq, a predicted model, not a curated record
GCGCCCCGCCCCUUCUCCUCGGGCCCGGCGGACCCGCGGCCCUGAGGGGGAGGUGGGUGGGGCCAUGGCGGUGUUGCCCUCGAGUCUUACAGCUCAGCCUGGUAAAGCUGCCUGGGAAAGGCGUGUGGGCAUCCCGGUUUGGGAAGGUCCCGGCUUCGCCUCCAGCCCAGAAAGGUGCCAGUGUUAUGAUAUUGAAAGGGAACAUAUUUUGGUUUCCAAACCCCAACUACAGCAGUGACAACAAAAAGAUACAAGACAGCACCAAAGGGAAGCCGCUCUCUGCUACCUAAGCAGCACACUGGAUGCAAGACAGGACAAUAUUUUGGAGGUUAGUUGAUGAAGCAGAUGAAGAUAUUAUUUUUUAACUUUUGGACACCUGGAUUCAAAGCAAAAGUAAUUUUGCAGUGUCAUCCAAGUUCUCAGCUGUCCAUUCUACAAAAUCUGGCAUAAAUAGCCUGUGGAGGGACCCAGGAUCUGCAGAGCAGAAUUCAGCACCUCACCGUGCUUGCUGGUGGCUGCACAAAGACUGUAGCACUUCUCAUGGUCACGUUUUUUUUGGCUCAACAAGCUGACUUGGGUCAACAAAGGCUGUGAAGACCAAGGGAAGAAGUAGGACAGCACAGCCAGGCAAGAGGGAUGGCAAACACAGCAUUGUCUCCUUUUAUGAAGGGAUCCCUUUCUGGCUCUGUGAGGAAAUACUCACCGAUUUCACAAUGGAGGGAAUUCCCCACUCUGUGCUCAGGAGCCUGUGGCUGUGCAGCUUCCCACUGGGAUCCACGUGUCUGUCCAGGACAUCGACUCCAACCACGCUGGGGUUCAUGGGAUUUGGAUAUUUCCUCAUGGCAGCUGUGGUCACAGUUUCCCAGGGGUGGCUGACGAAACAGAGGCAGGACACAAAGUUGUACACCUUCGGUUUUAACAGGGUUUCUAUUAAAACUGAAUGACACAUAUCACUUGAUUUAUGUCUUUAAAGCAGUUCCAUUUCCGCUUCUCAACCCUACACAUAUCCUUCCUAGAGAAACACCUCUAUUUCAUGGACUGGACAGUGCCACAUGCAAGUCAAACAUACAACACACCUCAUUAAUCUGGUGUCAUAUUAUAUUAUAACUUGAUAAGAACGUUUCCUUGUGACAUAAUGUUAAACACUGUGCUUCAUCCAGAUUUCAGUAA